GACGAACGCUGGCGGCGUGCCUAACACAUGCAAGUCGAGCGAAGCUUUUAAAGUGGAUCCCUUCGGGGUGAAACCUUAACUGUUUUAGCGGCGGACGGGUGAGUAACACGUGGGCAACCUGCCCUACAGAUGGGGAUAACUCCGGGAAACCGGGGCUAAUACCGCAUAACGUCGCAAGACCAAAGAGGGGGACCUUCGGGCCUCUUGCCAUCGGAUGUGCCCAGAUGGGAUUAGCUAGUAGGUGGGGUAACGGCUCACCUAGGCGACGAUCCCUAGCUGGUCUGAGAGGAUGACCAGCCACACUGGAACUGAGACACGGUCCAG
RNAcentral lists this ribosomal RNA (324 nucleotides) under uncultured bacterium. RNAcentral's name for it is "bacterial SSU rRNA". It matches the Rfam family "Bacterial small subunit ribosomal RNA", at positions 28 to 334 of the family's 1533-position model. The record is from RNAcentral.